Molecule: ribosomal RNA, 460 nt
Filed under: uncultured bacterium
Lineage: Bacteria
Description: partial 16S ribosomal RNA
Rfam family: Bacterial small subunit ribosomal RNA
Source: RNAcentral
CCUACGGGUGGCAGCAGUGAGGAAUAUUGGUCAAUGGGCGCGAGCCUGAACCAGCCAAGUCGCGUGAAGGAUGACUGCCCUACGGGUUGUAAACUUCUUUUAUAAAGGAGUAAAGUGAGGCACGUGUGCCUUUUUGUAUGUCCUUUAUGCAUAAAGCACGGCUAACUCCGGUCCAGGAGCCGCGGUACUACGGAGGGUCCGGGGGUUAUCCGGAUUUAAUGGGUUUAAAGGGAACGUAGAUGGGUUGUUAAGUCAGUUGUGAAAGUUUAGGGCUCAACCGUAGAAUUGCACUUGAUACUGGCAGUCUUGAGUAGAGUUGAGGUAGGCAGAAUUCGUGGUGUAGCGGUGAAAUGCAUAGAUAUCACGAAGAAUUCCGAUUGCGAAGGCAGCAUACUAAACGGCCACUGACAUUGAGGCUCGAAAGUGUGGGUAUCAAACAGGAUUAGAUACCCCUGUAGUC